CAUUUGUUCAUGCUUCUUA
RNAcentral lists this microRNA (19 nucleotides) under Populus x canadensis (hybrid black poplar). RNAcentral's name for it is "PC-5p-1349045_1". The record is from RNAcentral. Lineage: Eukaryota; Viridiplantae; Streptophyta; Magnoliopsida; Malpighiales; Salicaceae.